AUGAAUAGUUGCUCUGCCUAAUUUGCACAUUUUAAGUUCUCUCUCAAGUUUAGACAUAACUGUUAUAAUUUAAAGCUUGCUCUAGACCUAAACUUGAGGGAUGAAAACUUGAUCUGAAAUCUAAGUUGUUAACGGAUACGAUAUGGGAAGGUUGAGUUGCUAUUUAUCUGUUUCUAGAGAUGCUAGAAUUCUGGAGAAUUUUAUCUUUGGAAAUCUUUAAAAUGUUGCAUGAUGAGUUCCUGUAUGAUGAGAGUUUAAAUUCCUACCACAGCCAUAUAUACAUGCUUGCUAGACUUCGUGCCACACAUUUACUUUUUACUGCUUAUGAGCAUUGAGUGUGGUCAAGCUGUGUAGACCCUUAGGAGCUUGUCAUGUGGUUAAAUCAAGAUUCACUUGCACGUUCACUCACACAUGCUACUUCUACUCCGGAAGUACCAUCCACAUAUAUCCAUACAUUUCCAUCUUCAGAAUCACCCAAAAAUAUUCUACUCCUAAUCCGGGAGAGAAUAGCCAAAAAUAAUUUUGUUCUUCCUUGUGUAAUAAAUGCCUCAAGAUCAAUAAAGAGUAUUAUUAUUAUGUCUUGUGUGUCUCUACUUUAUUUUUGUGCAAGAAAGGAGAAAACAAGUAUGGGGGAGAUCCCUCGACAUGCUAAACACACUCCGACUACACCACACCACGAUUCAGGUACACACUCUGCACACUUUACUCUACACAUAUAUAUAUUUUAGAUUAUGCAGAAUAUUGUUCCGACAUGAUAAAAUAAAAAGAUUAAAAUAUUUCUAAUCAUGAUUAAUCUCAAUCUGUGAUAUUUCCUGAAAACUUGCAAUUAGUAUAAAAUCAUUUUUUAAAAAUCCUGUGUUACUUAAGUCAAGAUGGAAUAUGUGAUGGUAGAGUAUGAGUUUCUUAUUCUUGAUAUCAUUGUUGCUUGGAGAAUUUAUUUCAAAAUGUUCAAAUUCCUAGCUACCAUCCUCAGUGUUUUAUAUGCCUGAUAAAACUGAAAUAUUAAAUAUGAUUAUAAAAGCUAUCUGCUCUGUAUUGAGUUUGUUCAAAAUGAGUUAGACCCUUGUUGAGAGAUUUAUCAUGCUCCUAAGAUCAAGACAUUAUUUCAGUAAGAUUCACUCUUCCGAAGUAUUAUUGCAUUAGAGGCAUGGGCUAUGCAAAAAUAGAAGAUAUUUCGAGGAAAUAAAAAGGAGCAAGUGCUCGACAACCUCGCAGAAAAAAUGGACAAGUGUCCGGAAGUAGAAUUAGGGGUACCUCGGUAUCCACUAAAAAAAAGAAAAAAAAAUGACAGCCCAUGGUCCCUCUAAUAAGCAAUAUGCCAGCAAGAGUUGACAAUGUUUUUAAUUUCCAAAGUCUUUGAUCUAAGAGUAUGACAUUUCCCUCCUCGGAUCCCGUUUUGAUCAGGCAAUAAAUGCAAAGUAAGUAUGCUUGAGAAUUCUUGCAAAAUUAAAACAACCUCAGUGAGAUAUAUAUAAAAGAUAAUGAGUGAUCCGAGAGAACCUAUGAGGAUCAAAAGGUAUGCUAACUUUCUUUCAAAAAUAUACAAAAACUCCAAGUGACAGGAUUGAGAAGAAAGGAUCUUUACUCUUAAUCAUAUACAUCCCUGACUAUGGUACACAGUGGAAUUUUAACACCCUGCAAUUAUAAAGAGAAUGUUUUAAAUGUUUACCCCAGAUAUUUUUCUUAACCAUCCUUUUCUCGAGGACGAGUAAAAGCCUAAGUAUGGGGGUAUUUGUUGACGGUUCUUAAGUAUCAAUUUUAAUUAUCAAAUAAACAAGAGAAAGGACCAAUAUGCAACCAUCACCUAGAAUUAGGGUUUGAUCUGACAGAAUUCCACGAGUUUUGUUGUUUAUCUAUUUCUGCAGGGGGUUAUCAGGAAAUAAGGAAGAAAGGCCCACAUGUCGGGAUUACAUAGAGAUAUCAACGCACCGCGUAAUUUUACAUCAUCUAGAAGACUCCAGAAGCCACGAGACCGAAGCGGAGGCGAAGCUGGGCCAGGCCCAGGGCGCCCGCCCUGGUAGCCUGGGCGCCCGCCCCCCUACUGGAGUCAAUUCAGGACUCCUUCGCUCGGGAUAUUCCACCGACCUAUUGGAUCAAGAAAAACAUAGUACCACCUCGGCUAUCGACCCAAAAACGCAUAGAAGGGGAGGACUAUAUAAGCGAGGCUCCACUGGCCCCUAGAAGACAUGAAGAAAUUAUCAUAGAGACUGAGGGGUGCCCUCGAAGGAAAACCUCUUCUCUAAUUAAUAUUUCUUUUUAGGCUUAGCAAUCAAUGUAAGGUAGAAAUAGAUCUUCUAGUUUCUACUAGAUUGAGAGAGAUAGAGUGGAGGUGUAGAGUGGAGGAAGCCCGGCCUGUCGGUGUCUACUCCAAGCUUGUACCUGCGGGAUCAAGUUCUCCUAACCCGAAGCUUGCUCCUAGGAUUCUUCAGUAAUUCGACUUCUAAAUUCUAGUAAGUUCUUGUUUUAUUGUUCUUAUGGUUUAUGAGUUUACUUUAAUCU
Molecule: long non-coding RNA, 2499 nt
Filed under: Sorghum bicolor (sorghum)
Lineage: Eukaryota; Viridiplantae; Streptophyta; Magnoliopsida; Poales; Poaceae
Description: long non-coding RNA (SBIC_LNC003083)
Source: RNAcentral